UAAGCACAUUUCUGUUCGCACAUCCUGUUCUUUGUGAUUUGAGCGUGGUGCACCGUAUGCCUUGUUUUUGUUGAACUUAUUCGACACUAGUAAAUCGUGCCUCGUGUUUGCUGUGAGGCGUCUCCCUAGUUUCAGAUCUCCGUGUGUCAUGCGUCCUGGCUCGUAGGGUGAUCAAGGCGCUCUUAUUGUAAUGUAUCGUUGCGGAAUAUAGAAUAUAGGAAUAUAGAAUAGAUAGUGUCACAUAUGAAGCAUCACAUACGAGAGGGUCAUGAUCUGAUGUCCUUAUGAACGCUGCCAGAAGUAGUUCCGUGCCGUCUCCGCGUUUUGUAUGCACCUUCAUAUGUUCUUCCUUUGACAAAAUAAAGCGGAGGGUAUAAUAUCCUUUCUCUUUGCAAUGUUUUGAUGCAAGAGCUGACUGAUGGGUGCACGUGGCUCCUUCGAACGUUCUUCCAUUGCAAAAAUAAAUGUGUUUUGAUGCCAGAGCUGACUGAUGGGUGCACAUGGUUCCUUCGUAUGUUCUUCCUUUGAAAAAAUAAACGGGUUUUGAUGCCAGAGGUGAUUGGCGCAUUUUCAUCACUAUGUACAUAGAAAAUAAAUCCCAAUGUGACAAACA
Ornithodoros turicata is the source of this 613-nucleotide long non-coding RNA. RefSeq lists it as uncharacterized. The transcript has 3 exons. Lineage: Eukaryota; Metazoa; Arthropoda; Arachnida; Ixodida; Argasidae. The record is from RefSeq and is a predicted model, not a curated record.